Molecule: ribosomal RNA, 468 nt
Filed under: uncultured bacterium
Lineage: Bacteria
Description: partial 16S ribosomal RNA
Rfam family: Bacterial small subunit ribosomal RNA
Source: RNAcentral
GACGAACGCUGGCGGCGUGCUUAACACAUGCAAGUCGAACGGAAAGGCCCUGCUUUUGUGGGGUGCUCGAGUGGCGAACGGGUGAGUAACACGUGAGUAACCUGCCCUUGACUUUGGGAUAACUUCAUGAAACUUGGGCUAAUACCGGAUAGGAGCUCCUGCUGCAUGGUGGGGGUUGGAAAGUUUCGGCGGUUGGGGAUGGACUCGCGGCUUAUCAGCUUGUUGGUUGGGUAGUGGCUUACCAAGGCUUUGACGGGUAGCCGGGCUGAGAGGGUGACCGGCCAAACUGGGACUGAGAUACGGCACAGACUCCUACGGGAGGCAGCAGUGGAGAAUAUUGCACAAUGGGCGGAAGCCUGAUGCAGCAAAGCCGCGUGCGGGAUGACGGCCUUCGGGUUGUAAACCGCUUUCGCCUGUGACGAAGCGUGAGUGACGGUAAUGGGUAAAGAAGCACCGGCUAACUACGUG